GGGUCUAUGAUGACAAAACUAUGUCAUGAAGAGAGGAAAUGACAUAAAAAUCAUGCUCAGUAGGAUUACACUGAGGCCC
Mesocricetus auratus (golden hamster) is the source of this 79-nucleotide small nucleolar RNA. Its record names the gene SNORD115. It matches the Rfam family "Small nucleolar RNA SNORD115". From Rfam's summary of the family: HBII-52 is a member of the C/D class of snoRNAs, which contain the C (UGAUGA) and D (CUGA) box motifs. HBII-52 is encoded in a tandemly repeated array with another C/D snoRNA, HBII-85, in the Prader-Willi syndrome (PWS) region of chromosome 15. Lineage: Eukaryota; Metazoa; Chordata; Mammalia; Rodentia; Cricetidae. The record is from Ensembl.